This 478-nucleotide ribosomal RNA is filed under the name uncultured bacterium. Its description in RNAcentral is "bacterial SSU rRNA". It matches the Rfam family "Bacterial small subunit ribosomal RNA", at positions 17 to 518 of the family's 1533-position model. The record is from RNAcentral.
UUCUGGCUCAGGAUUAACGCUGGCGGCGUGCCUAAUACAUGCAAGUCGAAUGGUAGCAAUACCAUGGCGAACGGGUGAGUAACACGUAGGUAACCUGUCUUUAAGACGAGGAUAACCGUUGGAAACGACGGAUAAUACUCGAUAGGUGAUUUUUAGGGCAUCCUAGGAUCAUUAAAGAUUUAUCACUUAGAGAGGGGCCUGCGGCGCAUUAGCUAGAUGGCGGGGUAAUAGCCCACCAUGGCGAUGAUGCGUAGCCGGACUGAGAGGUUGAACGGCCACAAUGGAACUGAGAACGGUCCAUACUCCUACGGGAGGCAGCAGUAGGGAAUUUUCGGCAAUGGGCGAAAGCCCUGACCGAGCAACGCCGCGUGAACGAAGAAGUAUUUCGGUAUGUAAAGUUCUUUUAUUGGGGAAGAAAAAUAUCCAAAUUGACGGUACCCAAUGAAUAAGCUCCGGCUAACUACGUGCCAGCCGCCGC